Long non-coding RNA from Acanthaster planci (crown-of-thorns starfish), 2816 nucleotides. The record is from RefSeq and is a predicted model, not a curated record. NCBI's taxonomy places the organism in Eukaryota, Metazoa, Echinodermata, Asteroidea, Valvatida, Acanthasteridae.
UGUCCAGUCGCACGCUGUAAGUAUUUGUUGACGCUGCAUUGCAGGCGUUAGCUAUUGCGUCUACGGUAUCCGUCAACACAGAAGCUACCCUGUCGCUCAGAAAAAAAAUCAAAACUCGUGGCAAAUCUGAAAGAAAUUGACAGAUCUGGGCCAGGAGAGUUUUUGUUUAGAAACUCAGAAGUAGAGUCGGGUGUUCAGCAGCAACGUUUCUUUACCAACCAUGAAGUGGACUUUGAUGUUCGUCUGUGUCCUUGUUUGCCUUGUCGAUGGAAUUGCGGCAUUGAAUUGCUAUCAGUGUACGUCUCUCAACAACAACUGCAACGACCCGUUUGACAAGGUGGCACAUAAGAAUUUGCUCACCGACUGCCAAUCGGGAGAAGUUUGCAUGAAAACUAAAUAUGGCGACUUCGUCAACCGUCUGUGCACUUUGAAGCCCGCUUGUACUGUAUCUGGUGGGAUUAAUGUUUGCGGCGACGAUACAGUUGGCAAUUACAUUUGCUGCUGCACCACAGACGGAUGCAACGGCGCUACGACAACCAGCAUCAGCUAUUUGGUCGUGACUGCUCUGCUCGUCCUGACAAAGGCCUUGCAUUAACUGUCUUGGAGGCAGUUAUGAAAGGAACACGAUAAGGACAUCCAGUUGCUUUUGUUAUUUAGCUAUUUCAAUAAAUAGUUAAAAUCAAGUGACACACCAGAAGAAUCAUCAUGGAUUGCACGGCUUCGUGAAAUAUAGGCAAGGGGUAAAGUUGCUUAUCCUUAGCAAACUUGAAACUCCCCGAACUCUUCGAUCGCAAGUAAGCCCGUGUCUUUAAAUUAUAGCAAACAAUUACAGCUUAGAUUAGGGCCGAAUUUCAUGGCACUGCUAACUGCAAGCAAAAAAUCGGCGCUUACUGGAGCAGAAAAUUCUGCACUUACGGCGAACGUAUUUCACUGGUUAGCGAGGAAUUUUGGCUUGUGUGCAUGCGUAUACGCUGUAACUAAGGAUUUAGUGCUUUAACGGUUAACGCAGAAUUUUUCAGCAGAAGUUUGCCCACGGUAUUGCAUCAUGCCGUAAUAUAUUAACGUCACAGUUAUAGCACGACUAUUUUUCUGCACACAUGGGUGCUUAUUUGUAGAAAUCACAAACUUAUAAGGUAACAAGAAAUGGAACAAAGGUCACGACAAACAACAAGAAACGAUCAACAAACUAGUUGUGAGCCAAUCUGCAGUAUGUCACUCGGUCAUUACGACAUCACUACGCCAUUUAGGUAUCUUUCUCAUGCCUGUCAUUACAACCCUCACAAUAUAUUUACAGGGACAACUGUCACUCAUUGAGUCUUUCAACCAAACGUGUACAUAAAUAUUCCCGAUUGACUCCAUGAUUUGAUAAUCUAGAUAGUCUAGAUGACUUAAUUCAAUUCCCUUGACUUCUUCAAACUAUCCCUGAUGCUACUUUUAGAGGGGGUUUCACUGAUGGAGUCAUCUGAGCAGUCACUGAAACAGGGCGGGGCCAAACCUACGCUCCCAUAUGUUUGUACACAGACUCCCUACUGCCACGUGUCUGCUACAUGUUUAUGAAGAAAAUACCCUCUCCCCUCUCCUAGGCCACUGAGUCACUACUUCUUAUAAUUUUCAGCGUGUUAGGAGCCUUCUGCCUGGCGCUCAGCAGGUAGUUUACUGAUCUCCAGCGCCCCAACCUGAUUCUGGCCAUGUGGAAAGAAAUUCUGUGAUCACGCAAAAUGACACACAGGCUGGCCUGAGAAGGUUUCCAUCUCUUUUACUCAGAAAAAUGGCACGGGAAUUUGAUUUAUGAGUCAUUUGUAAUAUAAAUAUGAUUUGGCCAUAAUUUGGACAUUGUACCGCACAGGUGCACAAACUGAGUUACCCCCCCCGCCACUAAGGGGAUACUCUGUAAUACACCUGUACAUUUGUAUCAUGAACAUUGUCCCCUAGGAUGAUGGCAGCCCCCCUCCAAUUUCCACAGUCGGGCAAGCCCCCCUAUCCCAAAAUUUCCAGCACGAGAACGUCAUUAUUGCAUACACUGUUCUGGUUCCUCAUGUGAUUCCCGUGAUACCGUGCCCCUUUUCAAAUCGACCAUACACAGAACAGUUGAGCGCUAAGUCAAUUUUGCUAAAUAACAGUUCCUCUCGGGGGAUUUUUUUUCGUCUCGGUCUUUCACAAUGUUUAUUUUGGUUCUUUGAUGCGCCAAAUACCAACCAUAAUUGGUGGAAUGGUUGUACAGGCAUAAUGUAACGAUCCGUGCCUCCAUUGCAGCACCAAGCAACGCGAUAGACGGUCCAGUCAUGCUCGCCAAGGCAAGAAUGACUCACUAAGUAAAAUAAUUAGAGUACAUGUGCCGUUAGGUGAGGACAUACAAACCGGGACUUUGGACGCGUGGGAUCUGGGAGUGGCUUCACAAUCGCUGUGGUAGUCUUCAUGUGAUCAACUGGUCUGGGCGACUCCUCGUCAUCCAUAGUGAAUCACGAGAGUAACAAUGGAACUUUACAACCAGCAGCUUGAUGACAAGUGAGAUGAGUUUAUGUUUACUAAACCCUUCGGCAGGGUACCUGUACGUGCCCGUAUAAUGACCCAUUAAUAACCUCCUCCUGUCAAUCAGGUCCCGUUAAAAUUCUCCAAGAUCAAAGGCUCAACAUGUAAUUUCGCACAUGUGUGUUUGUAAAGAAAAUACGGUCGACUAAACCGAAAACUUGAAAAUAUCGAAGAUAUAUACGUGACAGGAUGACAUUUCAAAACAUGGAGUGUGAAUGUCAAUUACCUAGGCAGUGUCCAUCGAAUGUAUAAACAGAAUAAAAUGCAAUGUAAAAUGUAGAUUUAAA